GACGAACGCUGGCGGCGUGCUUAACACAUGCAAGUCGAACGGAAAGGCCCUGCUUUUGUGGGGUGCUCGAGUGGCGAACGGGUGAGUAACACGUGAGUAACCUGCCCUUGACUUUGGGAUAACUUCAGGAAACUGGGGCUAAUACCGGAUAGGAGCUCCUGCUGCAUGGUGGGGGUUGGAAAGUUUCGGCGGUUGGGGCUGGACUCGCGGCUUAUCAGCUUGUUGGUGGGGUAGUGGCUUACCAAGGCUUUGACGGGUAGCCGGCCUGAGAGGGUGACCGGCCACCUUGGGACUGAGAUACGGACCAGACUCCUACGGGAGGCAGCAGUGGGGAAUAUUGCACAAUGGGCGGAAGCCUGAUGCAGCAACGCCGCGUGCGGGAUGACGGCCUUCGGGUUGUAAACCGCUUUCGCCUGUGACGAAGCGUGAGUGACGGUAAUGGGUAAAGAAGCACCGGCUAACUACGUG
RNAcentral lists this ribosomal RNA (468 nucleotides) under uncultured bacterium. Its description in RNAcentral is "partial 16S ribosomal RNA". It matches the Rfam family "Bacterial small subunit ribosomal RNA", at positions 28 to 507 of the family's 1533-position model. The record is from RNAcentral.